Molecule: long non-coding RNA, 5284 nt
Filed under: Sus scrofa (pig)
Lineage: Eukaryota; Metazoa; Chordata; Mammalia; Artiodactyla; Suidae
Description: lncRNA (ENSSSCG00050037145.1)
Source: RNAcentral
UUUUUUUUAAGUUGAAGUAUAGUUGGUUUACAAUGUUGUACCAAUUUCUGCUGUACAGCAAAAUGACAUAUUCCCUUUCUUAUAUUAUGUUCCUCCGUAUUCUAUCCCAAGAGACUGGAUAUAGUUCCCUGUGCUUUACAGUAGGACCUCAUUGCUUAUUCAUUCUAAACGUGUAAUAGUUUGCAUCUCCUCACUGCAAACUCCCAGUUCAUCCCACUCCCUCCCUCUUGGCAACCACAAGUCUAUUCUGUAAAGACAGCCUAUUUUUAAUGAAACAAUGGCAAAAUAGCCAUACGUGAUCUUAUUCAUUCAACGAUAUGCCUUUUUAGUGCUACAGGGAAGUAGGUAUGAAGGUGACUUUGCUGGUAAUAAUAGCAUGUUCUUGAACGCCUGCUGUGGGUCUUCACCGUGCAACACACUUCACCUGUGCCAAGGGAUGCAUAGGCAACAAGCCUCUGGAGUUCAGGUGAGGGAGCCAUGGUGCUGAGCCAGUGGUUCACAGAAGACUUGAUGGAAGGGGUGACAUUUGAGCAGAGACCAUAAGACUGGCAAAACCCUGGGACAAAGAGAGGAUGGGUGAGGCCACAGGGGACCUGUAGGGGAGGAGUCUGAGGAGGCUUUAGGCAAGUUUGCUACCAGAGGGGAGGGACUGGGGAAAGGAUGGCGCAGGUGACACACCAGAUUACAGCAAGCUUGAAAUGUCCACCUAAGGAUAAGGGACAAUAAGUAGUCAAGAUUUUUAGAUAGCUUUUUGGGGAAUCCCAAGGAAAGGAUGAUUGGAAAUGUGCAGUGAAUUUGGUGAAUGGCAAAUGAUUAUCAGAGAAGCCCUGCAUCUCCUACAGGACUUGCAGGGACUGCUUCCACGGCCAGGGUAGGAGCUUACUCCUCAUUGAUUUAAGCUUCAGGGAAAUAACUGGGAAUACCCUUGUGGCUUAGCAGAUUAAAGACCCAACUUUGUCUCUGUGAGGAUGCGGGUUCCACCCCUGGCCCUGCUCAGUGGAUAAAAGGAUCAAGUGCUGCCACAAGCUGUGGCAUAGAUUGCUAACACAGCUCGCAUCCACUGUUGUUGUGCCUGUGGUGCAGGCCGGCAGCUGCAGCUUUGAUUUGACUCCUAGCCUGGAAACUUCCAUAUGCCACAGUGUGGCCAUAAGAAAAAAAAUUUUAAUGAAAAAAUGUUUUAAAAAGGAAUUAGCUGGUUCAAGGAAGUCAAGAGUCCAGAAUAAGGUUGGUGGCUUAAGACAGAGCCAGAUUGGAAGCUCAAGCCAGCCCAUGGGUCUGGGUCAUGGUCUCUCCAUCUCGUAGCUUCUCUCUAUCCAAUGUAGGCAUCUUAGAUGGCUCCCCCUGUUCCCCCAGGCCAGGCCCUGUCCUCUCUGCUGUAUUUGUUACAAGAGUCAGUCUCUUUCAACAGAAAUGCCAACCCACCUGGAAUCCACUCUCUUGGUCCCAAUAUCCCCAUUUGCCCACCUUUGAACCAAUGUCUGAGACCAGAGAGUCACAGGACUCUGCUGAGCCAGCCCUGAGCUCUGACCCCACAUCUGGGGUAGGGGGUUGCACCCUGAGGACUAGGAGUGUGAGGAGCAGGUCCUUAGAAAAGAAACCAAAAACCAAGAGUUCCCAUCGUGGCUCAGCAGUUAACAAAUCUGACUAGCAUCCAUGAGGACGCAGGUUCAAUCCCUGGCCUUGCUCAGUGGGUUAAGGAUCUGGCGUUGCCGUGAGCUGUGCUAUAGAUUGCAGACUCGGCUUGGAUCCUGAGUUGCUAUGUCUGUGGCAUAGGCUGGGGCUACAGCUCAGAUUCAACCCCUAGCUUGGGAACCUCCAUAUGCCGCGGAUGUGACCCCCCCAAAAAAAAGAAAAAAAGAAACCCAAAACCAGGAUAUUGUCACCAGAAAGUGGGGGGCCAUUGGUCUGGUAGGCAAAAACAACAGCUGUCCACAACAGCAGCUCCAGGAAACCAGGCAGAUGGAGAGCCACUGGGAAUGCACAGGGUUGGCAUCCGUUUGCUGAGGCGCCAGGAUCGGGAGGAUCCUCCACAACUAGGUGCUGCUUGUUGUCCUCGGGUGUCUGGGCCCGUAGUGGGAUUAGCAGUUGCUAAGAGGAGUCCUCAGGAGGAGCGGAUAUGAGUCUCCGGGUGGGCUGGGGGAGUGGAGUGGAUUGCAGGAAGGAGUUCUGGGAGCUGAGAGCCAGAGGAAGCAUUCAAUGUGUUCAUUUCAGCAGUGUCAGGCCUGCCAAACCAGGGUGAGAUUUGUAUGCCUGAUUUUCCUUGCAGAAUGUUGUUCCUGUGCAAAUCAAGUUGCUGCAAACACAUAUCUGCCCCACUUAGGCUUAAAUCCUGCAUUUCAGCAAGUCUGCUGCUCUUAGUGCUCAGGAAUACUCAGACCUUCUCCUAACUGAUGCACUGAUGAUGGAAGGAUGAGGAGUCUUUGCUUGACCAAGAGUAUCUUUUUUGGCCACCUCACAGCCUGUGGAGUACCCGGGCCAGGGAUCAGAUGUGAGCUGCCGUUGCAACCUUACACUGCAGCUGCAGUAAUGCUGGCUCCUUCAACCCACUGUGCCGGGCUGGGGAUCAAACCUGUAUCCUAGCACUGCAGAGAUGCUGUUGAUCCCAUUGCACCACAGUGUGAACUCCAACCCAAGGUAUCUUUGAGAGCCAGGAUUUUCAGAGAAAGGGGUUGGCCCUUCUUAGUCACAAAUAGAUCCUAGUGAACAGUUUUCAUGAAGGUCAUCUAGAAGUCAUCCACACAGGCUCUGGAACCACUGGCAGCUCUUCAGAGGCUCUGGUUUAAAGUGCAUCCCAUGUAGACCCACCCCCUAGCUCAAUCCUGAUUGCUUAUAUAUGCAUCUGGUGAAGGGUUUUCAUUUCUUUUGUUGUUUAAGCAGUACCAAAGCCUAGAUGGCCCUUAAAUGGAGUACCUCUGUUAGACAGUCCCUCUGUUUUGGGGCCUCGAUUUCCUAAUCUAUAAAAUUGAUGUGCCUGGGCUACAUAAUUGCUCUUGGUACUCUCUGUAUGUAAAUAUCCUGAGAUUUGAAUUUAUAAAAUCUAGCUAACCCGUCUGGAGGAUCCCAAGAAGCCUGUUAGGUUGAACAUCAAAUAGACAGAUCUUCCUAACUUCUGGUGGGUUAGGGUUCCCAUAAAGUCAUCACAAUUUGAAAAUACCAUUAAGUUGAAGAGUUCCUGUUGUGGUUCAGCAGGUUAAGAACCCAACUAGUAUCCAUGAGGAUGCAGGUUUGAUCCCUGGCCUCAAUCACUCAAAUUCGACCCCUAGCCUGGGAAAUUCCAUAUGGCACAAGUGCGGCCCUGAAAAACAAAACAAAACAAAACAAAAAGUUCUUACUUGGGAGUGAUUUUUGCACCCAGGGAACAACUGUGGAGACCCUUUUGGUUGCCACAAAGGCAGUGCUAUGAGUGGUGAGGGGUUAGAGGUCAGGGCCUCUAACCCCUGCCUACAGCACGUGGUAUAGCUCCCUGAACAAAGUCUGAUCCACUGAAAUGUCAAUCAGUAUUGUCGAGGCUGAGCAGCUCUGUCUUUGGGUGUUCAAGUUUGUCAUGUUAUCAUCAAUCUGAUCCUCUAAGCUUCAUAUCUCCUUGGUUCAGCUGAGAAGUUGCUAACAGCUGUUUUUCAGGAGUCUCAUGAACUAGCUACAUAUUUUCUGGUUUUUCAUUUUGACUUUCCCUUAAUAUAUGAACCACUUUCUAUGCUGUGACACAUGGUUACCAAAGCUUUUUUUCUCCCCCCUUUCUUCUCUCUUGUGUUUCUUUAUGCCAUACUAGUUUGAAGUGGGGGCGAGAGGGACAUCUGUUUGGGCCUGAGCCUCUGGAGGAGGCCCUAAAAAUGUCUUGAGAAGAACUGAGUUGGAGACCAAAGAGGCGGCUACGUGUGAAGGCCCUGGGCAGCCCUCUCAGCUCCAGAAAGAUGAUGCUAAAAGAAGCGCUAAGUGCUCCCAUCUUGUGUUUAUACUAUUCCUAUUCCAUAAAGGGAAAAAAAAAAAAAACCUUAAAUUAAAUUAAGAGGUGCUUACCAGCCUUUAAGAGUUGGAGCUUUCUUUGUAAUUUUCCAGAGCCAGUUGGCCAACCAGAGGGCUGUGGCAUUUACGAGAUGAACACAAUGUACAUGUGAAAUGAUGGCGUCUGAGUUACCAAACUAUUUAUUUCAUUGAAAUUUGUUCCAUUUCCCCCAGAUGAUGAACUGUUCAUGCGUGACUUAUCUUGAGUUUGGCUUGACAAAAGUCUGUGUGUUGCUGGAAAAGGAAGACAGGAGAAAACAAAUUGAUAAUACAGAGGGUUAGAUCUACAAAUGACCCAUCUCCCCGUCUGUGUGAUUUUAGGAUGAGAGGUGGUGAUAUCAUGAUUUUGGUUUAAAUGCACUUUGGAGAAAUGGUAUAAAGAGAUUUCCUCUAAUGGACAAAUAGAAGCAACUUAGAAUUUCAGUCUCAUGACUUCAAGAAAAAAAUUUCUAACUAGCAGUAUGAAUCCUAUACCAAGCUCUCUAAUGGACGGCUUGUUAGAUAAAAUAACUGUAAAAACUUGAACUCAAGGUCGGCUAUAGUUGCUAUAAAUCAUUUGGAAGUCAAGAUUCAUAUGAGAAUUAGUUUCAUGCUUUUUAGGGUACUAUACAAAGUCUAUAUCGGAGGGUACUUUAGUGUAACUUCAUUUUGCUGACCUGGAGGGGGCAAGGAGGGAGUUUGACCAGAAAUAUCAAAUGCCCUAGAGGCUGAGGUUGUUCUAGAUGAGCAGGUGGUGACUCUAACUUGUUCAUUUGAAACAACUAACCAACCAAGUUGUCUCUGAUCCUCCUCCUAAUUAACCACAAGAGCAACAAGCUCACUGAGCCCAUCUCAGGAGGCACUGGCUCUUUAUCAAUAGAUUUCUUUUUAUGAGGGCUCUUAACCAAUAUCUUCUUUUUUAAUUUUAAUUAAAGUAUAGUUGAUUUAUAGUGUUGUUCCAAUUUCUGUUGUAUAGCAAAUGGACCCAGUCAUACAUAUUUAUAAAUAUAUACACACACACAUUAUUUUUCUCAUAUUGUCUUCCAUCAUGUUCUGUCACAAGUGAUUGGAUAUAGUUCCCUGUGCUAUACAUCAGGUUAACCAAGAUUUUCUGAUAAAAUCCCCAUUUUGAAGGUGUUUUGUCCACUACCACCUUGAUUUCCAAAUUAAGUGUUUUAUAAGUGACACAUGCCCUGACAAGUUUGCCUAAGUGACUUGUCUCAGACUGGUCACAAUAUUGGCUUAAGGAUUUGGGAGGGUUUGCUCCAGAAGAAAUCUAAGGGGAAGUGGAAAUUGUUUUUUU